Molecule: ribosomal RNA, 3124 nt
Filed under: Streptomyces africanus
Lineage: Bacteria; Bacillati; Actinomycetota; Actinomycetes; Kitasatosporales; Streptomycetaceae
Description: 23S ribosomal RNA
Rfam family: Bacterial large subunit ribosomal RNA
Source: RNAcentral
GGCCAAGUUUUUAAGGGCGCACGGUGGAUGCCUUGGCACCAGGAACCGAUGAAGGACGUGGGAGGCCACGAUAGUCCCCGGGGAGUCGUCAACCAGGCUUUGAUCCGGGGGUUUCCGAAUGGGGAAACCCGGCAGUCGUCAUGGGCUGUCACCCGCUGCUGAACACAUAGGCAGUGUGGAGGGAACGCGGGGAAGUGAAACAUCUCAGUACCCGCAGGAAGAGAAAACAACCGUGAUUCCGGGAGUAGUGGCGAGCGAAACCGGAUGAGGCCAAACCGUAUGCGUGUGAGACCCGGCAGGGGUUGCGUAUACGGGGUUGUGGGAUCUCUCUUUCAUGGUCUGCCGGCCAUGAGACGAGUCAGAAACCGUUGAUGUAGGCGAAGGACAUGCGAAAGGUCCGGCGUAGAGGGUAAGACCCCCGUAGUCGAAACGUCAGCGGCUCGUUUGAGAGACACCCAAGUAGCACGGGGCCCGAGAAAUCCCGUGUGAAUCUGGCGGGACCACCCGCUAAGCCUAAAUAUUCCCUGGUGACCGAUAGCGGAUAGUACCGUGAGGGAAUGGUGAAAAGUACCGCGGGAGCGGAGUGAAAUAGUACCUGAAACCGUGUGCCUACAAGCCGUGGGAGCGUCGGAAUGAAGACUUGUCUUCAUUCUCGUGACUGCGUGCCUUUUGAAGAAUGAGCCUGCGAGUUUGCGGUGUGUUGCGAGGUUAACCCGGGUGGGGAAGCCGUAGCGAAAGCGAGUCCGAAUAGGGCGAUUUUAGUAGCACGCUCAAGACCCGAAGCGGAGUGAUCUAGCCAUGGGCAGGUUGAAGCGGAGGUAAGACUUCGUGGAGGACCGAACCCACCAGGGUUGAAAACCUGGGGGAUGACCUGUGGUUAGGGGUGAAAGGCCAAUCAAACUCCGUGAUAGCUGGUUCUCCCCGAAAUGCAUUUAGGUGCAGCGUCGUGUGUUUCUUGCCGGAGGUAGAGCACUGGAUAGGCGAUGGGCCCUACCGGGUUACUGACCUUAGCCAAACUCCGAAUGCCGGUAAGUGAGAGCGCGGCAGUGAGACUGUGGGGGAUAAGCUCCAUGGUCGAGAGGGAAACAGCCCAGAGCAUCGACUAAGGCCCCUAAGCGUACGCUAAGUGGGAAAGGAUGUGGAGUCGCACAGACAACCAGGAGGUUGGCUUAGAAGCAGCCACCCUUGAAAGAGUGCGUAAUAGCUCACUGGUCUAGUGAUUCCGCGCCGACAAUGUAGCGGGGCUCAAGCGUACCGCCGAAGUCGUGUCAUUGCAGCAUAUACGGCCAACGCCGGCUGUGAUGGGUAGGGGAGCGUCGUCUGCCGGGUGAAGCAGCACCGGAAGGUAGUUGUGGACGGUUGACGAGUGAGAAUGCAGGCAUGAGUAGCGAUUCACACGUGAGAAACGUGUGCGCCGAUUGACUAAGGGUUCCUGGGUCAAGCUGAUCUGCCCAGGGUAAGUCGGGACCUAAGGCGAGGCCGACAGGCGUAGUCGAUGGAUAACCGGUUGAUAUUCCGGUACCCGCUGUGAAGCGUCAAACAUCGAAUCCAGUGAUGCUAAGCCCGUGAAGCCGUUCCGGACCCUUCGGGGAAAGGAAAGUGGUGGAGCCGGUGACCCAAUCUGGUAGUAGGUGAGUGAUGGGGUGACGCAGGAAGGUAGUCCAGCCCGGGCGGUGGUUGUCCCGGGGUAAGGGUGUAGCCCGUCAUCUAGGUAAAUCCGGGUGACAUGAGGGUGAGACCUGAUGCCGAGCCGAUUGUGGUGAAGUGGAUGAUCCUAUGCUGUCGAGAAAAGCCUCUAGCGAGUUUCAUGGCGGCCCGUACCCUAAACCGACUCAGGUGGUCAGGUAGAGAAUACCGAGGCGUUCGGGUGAACUAUGGUUAAGGAACUCGGCAAAAUGCCCCCGUAACUUCGGGAGAAGGGGGGCCACAUCCGGUGAUGAGCUUUGCGCUCUGAGCUGGGGGUGGCCGCAGAGACCAGCGAGAAGCGACUGUUUACUAAAAACACAGGUCCGUGCGAAGCCGUAAGGCGAUGUAUACGGACUGACGCCUGCCCGGUGCUGGAACGUUAAGGGGACCGGUUAGUCACUCUUCGGGGUGGCGAAGCUGAGAACUUAAGCGCCAGUAAACGGCGGUGGUAACUAUAACCAUCCUAAGGUAGCGAAAUUCCUUGUCGGGUAAGUUCCGACCUGCACGAAUGGCGUAACGACUUCUCGACUGUCUCAACCAUAGGCCCGGUGAAAUUGCACUACGAGUAAAGAUGCUCGUUUCGCGCAGCAGGACGGAAAGACCCCGGGACCUUUACUACAGUUUGAUAUUGGUGUUCGGUUCGGCUUGUGUAGGAUAGCUGGGAGACUGUGAAGCGCUAACGCCAGUUAGUGUGGAGUCGUCGUUGAAAUACCAGUCUGGUCGUGCUGGAUGUCUAACCUGGGUCCGUGAUCCGGAUCAGGGACAGUGUCUGAUGGGUAGUUUAACUGGGGCGGUUGCCUCCUAAAGAGUAACGGAGGCGCCCAAAGGUUCCCUCAGCCUGGUUGGCAAUCAGGUGUUGAGUGUAAGUGCACAAGGGAGCUUGACUGUGAGACCGACGGGUCGAGCAGGGACGAAAGUCGGGACUAGUGAUCCGGCGGUGGCUUGUGGAAGCGCCGUCGCUCAACGGAUAAAAGGUACCCCGGGGAUAACAGGCUGAUCUUCCCCAAGAGUCCAUAUCGACGGGAUGGUUUGGCACCUCGAUGUCGGCUCGUCGCAUCCUGGGGCUGGAGUCGGUCCCAAGGGUUGGGCUGUUCGCCCAUUAAAGCGGUACGCGAGCUGGGUUUAGAACGUCGUGAGACAGUUCGGUCCCUAUCCGCUGUGCGCGUAGGAGUCUUGAGAAGGGCUGUCCCUAGUACGAGAGGACCGGGACGGACGAACCUCUGGUGUGCCAGUUGUUCUGCCAAGGGCAUGGCUGGUUGGCUACGUUCGGGAGGGAUAACCGCUGAAAGCAUCUAAGCGGGAAGCCUGCUUCGAGAUGAGGACUCCCACCUCCUAGAGAGGGUAAGGCUCCCAGUAGACGACUGGGUUGAUAGGCCGGAUAUGGAAGCACGGUAACGUGUGGAGUUGACCGGUACUAAUAGGCCGAGGGCUUGUCCUC